CUUUUAGUGGCUUUUGAAUUUUAACCACUCCCAAAUCUAGUGGGAUGAAAACAAUUGAAGGAAGUUUAUGUCACUAAUAUACGCAUACUUAUCCACAGAGGUGGGACCAAGAAUGCACAACCAGGGGAUGGUGAAAUUUUUUUAUAGAACUUUGACGGUAAAAGAAAUAUUUUUUAUUUAAAAGCUAUAACAUGCCUAAUUAGAAGCCAGACCCACCAACAAAACUAACUAUGACCUGUCUCUGACUCUUCAUUUAUUUCAAUGCAUUUCUCAACAUGAACCACAAUCCAACAUGUUCCAAAAAUAAGUGGGAAUUUUUCCACAUACUUCCUAACCAUUAAUAAGCAAAGACAGUGCAUGAAAAGCAAGCAACUUAUAUUUUACAAUAAGCAAAAUCAAAAAGCAAAACCAGAAAGCGUAGGAUUUGUUGAUUGCCAAGCUUUUCCGACAAAAUUUCGCUCAGUUGAAGAUUCAGAUAAAAAACCAUUUAACUGGGAAUCUAGUUUCUGAAAGAUGGUAUUAUUGAACUUCGAAUUCUCAUCUUUUGUCACGUACUUCUGUAACACCUCUAUAAGGAUGUCCUUUACAUACUACCAGAUCAAUUUUUUUGGCCGCAAACAAGAUCUUCAGUCAUUCCAAAUAUGAAUAUUAAAUUUAAUAAGAAUACAACCACUAAUUUCCUAAAUGAACACAAACAAAAUUUCCACUUGCAUACAUACAAAAUAUAGAAAUACAAUUAAAAUAUGGGCCAACACACACUUACACACAUGAUUAACUAGGAAAGAACAAAAAAUUAGCACACUAACAACAUAAUUUGCUUGGAAAUGAGAAAUCAAAGUAUGAACUCAUGAUGUAAAUAAAACAAAGAAAUCUUUAGAAAUUUUGAAGGAUGCAGAUUAAGUUGCAUUCUCUAAUAAAUUAAACUUUUAGAUGAAGUAGUUUCAACAUGGUAUGAGAACAUGCAAAUGUCCUUAGUUUAUGUCUCACCGCUAUCCAUUUAAUGAAAUUGUACACAAUUCAAGCUUUGAUAGGAAAAUUCCGG
RNAcentral lists this long non-coding RNA (1042 nucleotides) under Olea europaea subsp. europaea. The record is from RNAcentral. Lineage: Eukaryota; Viridiplantae; Streptophyta; Magnoliopsida; Lamiales; Oleaceae.